Bos taurus (domestic cattle) is the source of this 1009-nucleotide long non-coding RNA. The record is from Ensembl. NCBI's taxonomy places the organism in Eukaryota, Metazoa, Chordata, Mammalia, Artiodactyla, Bovidae.
AGUGUUGUCCCUGCUCAAGCAGCAUCAGCAUUUCCAGAAAGCUCGUGAGGAAUAGACUCUCAGAGCUCAGCCCAGACCUAAAGAAUCAGAAUCUUCAUUUUAGUCAGAUUCCUGGGGGAUUCAAGUGCGAGAAGCUGCCCUCAGAGGACUUCCUGUAGGUUCAGCUGAUCCGUCUGCUUCCAGGAAGGCAUGCUGGUGUGGCCACUGCACGGUGACAUACUGGACAGCAAAACAGCAAAUGCUGGGAUAGACCGGACCCUUUGACACCCAAGUCUUGUGAACUAGGGGACAGAGCCAAGAAGAGUGAGGUCAGCUUUUCACUGUGGCCUGGUUUUCUCCUCUUCUCUGGAUAAGUGAGAUAACUCAUGGAGCUUCAUGAAUGCUCAGUAGACCUCCUACCUAUAAAUAAUGGGAGAUUUUUCAAUAUUCAGAGAAAAGAAUGAGGAGACCUGAGGGAGAACUAAACAUGUAUCUUCUGCUGUGCGUGGAAAUGAUGAUUUUCAUAAAGAAAAUAAAUGUACAUGCAAUAAAGCCCAGAGAUAUAAAUGCAGAAAUGAAUAACAGGCUCAAGAUUUGAAAAUUGGGAUGCUAGAUGUCAUGCAAUAUGCCUGAGGUUAUAUGUUUAAAGCAAAACUGGAACCACAAUGGAGGCUGGUCAGUCCCAAGUCAGGGAUCCCACUGCUUGCCCUUCCCUUGUUUCGCUUUCUUUGGAGAAGCACCUAGUAUGGAAUCGGACUCAUGAAUCUGGGAAGAGAAAAGCCAAGUUCAAGUCAUGAGGCUCAUUGUAAGAGUUUCCCAAGCAGAACUUCGUUGGGUCUUUCCUGCUGGCUCAGAUGGUAAAGAAUCCGCCUGCAAUGCAGGAGACCCGGGUUCAAUCCCUAGGUCAGGAAAAUCCCCUGGGGGAAUGGCAACCCACUCCAGUAUUCUUGCCUGGAGAAUCCCAUGGACAGAGAAGCCUGGCAGGCUACAGCCUACAAGGUUGCAAAGAAUUGGACAAGACCGAGUGAGU